AGCUCAGUGGCAGAGCGCUUGCCUAGCAUGCAUAAGGCCCUGGGUUCAAGCCCCAG
Molecule: transfer RNA, 56 nt
Filed under: Fukomys damarensis (Damara mole-rat)
Lineage: Eukaryota; Metazoa; Chordata; Mammalia; Rodentia; Bathyergidae
Rfam family: tRNA
About the family: Transfer RNA (tRNA) molecules are approximately 80 nucleotides in length. Their secondary structure includes four short double-helical elements and three loops (D, anti-codon, and T loops). Further hydrogen bonds mediate the characteristic L-shaped molecular structure. tRNAs have two regions of fundamental functional importance: the anti-codon, which is responsible for specific mRNA codon recognition, and the 3' end, to which the tRNAs corresponding amino acid is attached (by aminoacyl-tRNA synthetases). tRNAs cope with the degeneracy of the genetic code in two manners: having more than one tRNA (with a specific anti-codon) for a particular amino acid; and 'wobble' base-pairing, i.e. permitting non-standard base-pairing at the 3rd anti-codon position.
Source: Rfam by way of RNAcentral